UCAAGCACCCUAACCCUCUCUAAAUUCGAGAAAAUCCCUCUCUGCACCCUCUCAACCUCCUUAAUCUCCUUCUCCUCCAACUUAUCCCCAAAACACAUCAACACAAGCAACCCGAACAUCGCAAACUGAAACUCAUCUACAACCUUAACACCCACAUUGUCAGUACUCUUGUAAAGGCGUUGCACCAGUACACCCAACACCCACUCCCUCGCAUGUGAGAACGCCUUCACCCUCGAAGGAUGCAAAAUCUCAGAAUUCAAAUUCCUCCGAAACAAGCGCCACGUGGGGCCAUACCCAGCAGUAUUAAUAUUAUGCUGAUUACAGCUUAAAAACCUUUUUGUGGGGGGUGGUCGAGGCCGGUCGGAGAAAAUGGCGCCGUUUUCAACAAGAGAACUGUGAGCCAGGGAGUGGGAACUAAUAAAGAUGACAGUGCGGGAACCAAAUUUGAGAGUGAUAAUAGGGCCGUACUUGUGUCCGAGUUUGGCUAGGAUUGGUCCGACGUCGGAGACUGAGUGUCUUAGCCAGAGGAGGUUACCGAGGAUAGGAAUAGAAACAGGACCUGGAGGGAGGUUGAGCCGACAAGUGGUGACGAGACGGAGGAGGGGUUUGAGUAGUAGAGCGAGGGAGACUGUGAAGGCAAUGAUUAACCAAGCUUCCAUGGUGAUUUUCAUUUAACAUUAUGAACAAACUGUGCAUGUGUAUAUAUAGAUCGCCAGCCGGGAGUAUUAUGCUCUUGGAUGACUUGAUUCGAUGAUCAAGAGCUUUCUUCAAAUGUCUUUAUUCAUUUUAUGUAAGAAUUUUAUGUAAUUGUGCUUGUCUGAAAAAUACCAAGUUGCCGGGAGUCUGAAAAGAUGGUGAAUUGUGCUUGUCCGAAAGUACUUGUCAUGUUUGAAAUCCGUGUAAUUCACUUGUUCCUUUCGGAUUGUAUACGUUUACGACAGGAUUUCGAGGUUUUUUUUAGAUCUAAUUCAUGCUCGUCACGUAUUUUGAGUCUUUUGUAAAAUAUAAUUUUAAAAUUAUUUUUCUUCAGAAUAAAAAUUAAAGUUUUAAAUUUUAGUUCAGUAACCAAGUUUUUCAAAAAUAAUUUAUAAAAAUAUAUUUUGUAAAAAUUUUAAAAUACGUGCAAAGUAAUGCAAACGACUGAAUGAUCAACUUUUCUAUGUUAUAUAUAUACACUAGCUUAUGAUCCGUGAUUUAUAUUAUUUAUUAUUUAUAUUUUAAAUUUAAUUGAAAUAUAAACUCAUCACACUUACUGAAUUUAUAAAUAUUUUGACUUAGUUAAUAAUAAAAAGAUUUAUUAGAUUAUGUUAUAUAUUGUGGAGACUUCUAAACUAAACCAACUGGCUAAUAAAAUUAUUAAUAUUUUAUUUAAUAGUACAAGUUGUAUCAAAUUCGCAAAGAAUAGUGAACCACCAAAUACCAAUGUCAUAGAAGAAGUGGAUUUUGUUUAAGGAUGUUUUAGUUUAAUACGAUUUAUUAUAAUAGAGUUAAGUUCUAUGGAGUACAUAAAAACAUUGGAGUAUUGGAGUACAAAUCAUAAUUUUUUAGUUUGAUCAUAUAUAAUAUCUUUGAUUAUCCAAAUUUUGAUAUAAUCUAUCAUUUAUAAGUUGUCUUGCACAUAAUUGUCAAUUAAUCAUUAAUAUCUCUCAACUUUAACAAGUAUUAAGAUUAUUGUUCUGCUUAUUAGUUAUAUUGCAGAACAUAGAGUCCUAUGAUUUAUAAAAGUAAUUAUUCUAUCAUUUGAUCACGAUGUUUAUGUUGCAGAACAUAAUGUGCAGGUUGUCAAAUAUUUACAAAUAUUAUUGGACAAAAAAAAUUGAAAUUUAGAUGACUAGAUUACAUUUUAUCAAACUUUGUACUCCAAUACUCCAAUUUUUUUUGUACUCCAUAGAACUUAACUCUAUUAUAACAUACUAAGGAUGUUUUAGUUCAAUACGAUUUAUUAUAAUAUACUAUAUGAUGUCCUAAACUCACAUUUAGGUAAUGUGUCAGAAAAAAAUCCACUCCAACACUAUUCUGGUGUUAUCCUAAAUCACUAGCACAACCUUAAUUCUACUAGCCAUUACCUAUUUAUAAGUAACCGCUAGCCAUUACCUAUUUAAUAUUUAUGAAUAAAAUAAUCAUCACUCUCCUUUUUUUUUUUUGUCUAUUCUCACCUUUUCCCCUUCUCUCUCUCAAAUUUAUUAUUAAAAUAAUCUUAGGAGAACAAAUAUAGGGAUUACUAUUGGAGUUGACACUAAAAAUAGAUUGCCUAAAUCACUAAGACAUACUAGUAUUCAUUAUUUUAUACUCCCUCCGUCCCCCUUAAUUGUUUACAUUGGAGGGGGACACGGAGACCAAGACAAUGUAUGAAAAAUGAGUAAAGUUAGAUGAAAAGUGGGUAAAGUGGUGGGACCUACCAAUAUUUAAUACUCCCUCCGUCCCUCCCAUUUCUUAUCGAAUGGGUUGGGCACGGAGGUUAAGAAAUAUGAAUAAAGUAGUUCAAAAUAGAAAGAAAAAUGGGUGAAUUGGUGGGACCCACUAAUUUUUAAUGUAUAAAAGGGAGAUAGUGGAGUAAAAGUAGUGUGAAAAGGAAAUAAAAGUGGAGAAGUGGUGGAACCCAUUGACCAUAUUUGGUAAGUUUUGAAAUGUAAAGAAUUAGAUGGGACACCCCAAAAAGGAAAGUGUAAAGAAAUGGAAGGGACAGAGGGAGUAAUCAAUUUGAGAUAGUGGAGGGAAGUAGUGGGUGUAAUAGUAGUUUUUAUUGUUAAAUAUGAGAUAGUAGGGGAAGAUAGUGGGUGUAAUGAUGAGAAAAACUUACUAUUUAUAGUAACGUAAAGAAAUGAGAGGAACAUUCCAAAAUAGUAACUGUAAAGAAAUGAGAGGGACAGAGGGAGUAUUAUUUAUAAGUAAUAGGAUAGGUAACUUAUUGGACUUGCUCUAGGAGGAGUGUAUUCGAUUGAGAUUUUAAUGAAUUAUUUUUUUUAGAGUAAGUAUCAAUUCAAUAAUGAAAAGCGGCAUCUACAAAAAUGUCGCGUCGAACAAACCAUAAAACGGAAACAAUAGCUGAUUAACCCAUUCUUGUUGGAGAUACAAUCACGCCAUUUGUUGAAGAUGAUAUAUUUACAUGUACCCGCUUCACCAUAUCCAGUUGGAACUAAUCCGGUUUGACACUCUCACAAAGGAGNGGAGAGAAAUACCAAAACUCUCACAAAGGAGAGAAAUACCAAAACUCUCACUAAGGAGAGACUACAACGAAACUGAAAUUGCAAAUUAAAUUAAAAUUACAAAAUAAAAGCAAACUUUAGAUCCAGAAAACAAACCACAAAAAUAAGAGAAACCGGAUCCCUCUAAACCGUAUAGCCAUCCAUUUGAUCGGAGAAGACAAAAAUCCGGAUACUCCGAUGGUUUUGAUCUAAAGAUUUUUAUUGAAAAAUGAAAAGAAAACAAGAGAUUGGGGCUUUCCACCGGAGAAAACUAAUGGUAGCCCCGGAGAAUGGAGAUUAUAGUGGAGAAAGAAGCAAGGGAGGCGGCUCCGGAGAGAAUUUUAGGUUUAGGUUUGAAACGUGAAAGUUUUUAAUGAAUUGUUUUUUAUUUAUGGAUUUUAAUGAAUUGUAUGUGAUUUUGAUUUUGUGCGGAUUCUUGAUAAAAGGUGGUAGAGUUGAUAUGGAUUCUUUAGAAUUUAAGAACAAUGCUACAAUAUCUCAUGGAUUUUGAUGAGAUUUCAAAAAACUUAAAAUAUCGAGAAAUGUCACAAAAUCUAUCAUUUUAUGAAAUUCAAAACAAUCCAUCAGCAUUUGAAUACCAUCAGAUUUUAUUGUAUUUUAAACAAUCCCAAUUGAAUAUCAUUUGAUUUUAAAGCAUAAUUUAAGAUCUUGAAUAUCACCGUAUUUUGUAGUAUAAUUUAAAAUCUCAGUGGAAUAUUUCUAAAUUUUAAUGGAUUUGUACUAGAUUAUCAUUAUGAUGGGGGUUGUGCAAGUAAGUCUUUUUGGCCUGUGUUGUCUAACUUUGUAAGUGUUCAUGGUUUUAAGAAGUGAUUUUGGUUAGAGAAUUUAGAUGCAGAUUGUUUAUUCCAUGUGCAGAGAAGCCAUCUAUAUAUAUAUUAUUGUCCAUAUGCAGAUUCUGGUUAGGGAAUUUAGAUGCAGGUUGUUUAACCUCAUAUUUGUUUUUGUAAAUCACCAGUUGGAAUGGAGUUAUUUAGCUAAAGUAGGGAAAUCACAAUUGUAAGUUUAGGCAACAUAAAAGACAUUCUCUUUUUAUGUUGGUACUUGAGAAUUACGUGAAAAAAGUCAAAGUGACAUGUAUUUUGGGACGAAGGGAGUAGUACAUUUGAAUUGGCCACAGACCUUGUCCUUAUUGUUCACAGAAAUCCUCUUUCAAAACUAACUUCUUCUGGUUAUAUAUGGUUUUCCUCUCUACUCCAGGAAGCCAAAAUUUAGGGAUUCUUGGGGUAUCAUUAGUGCAUUCUCCUAGAUAAUAAAUUAUAUGCAUUUAGAGACUGUCAAGAAAUGAGAUGGAUCAGUAACUUUAUGGCCAAUUUUAUUCAAUAAUUUGAUGGCUUGAUCCAGAAACCUGCUCCAUAACCAGCUAUUCAACCUCGCCAUCUAUACCAUCUUGAUCUUGAUAAUUUAACUAUAUAUAUGAUUCAUGCAGCCAUAGUAUAAAAUUCAUCUGCUACUCCCAUUGUUCAAAACAGAUUGCAGAUACUACUUGGCUAUCACUAGUUUGCAUCAGAGUUUUUAGCAUCUUAUCUCUACAAACUAUAAUUUCAGUGAUAGCCAAAAAAAGGAAAAGAUGAAAUCACGUAUAAAAUAGCAAAAUUUACGUAAAAGAAAACGUGAAAAAGAUCAAACAAGAUUAGUAAUGAUAAAAAUUGCAUGUAAGAAUUGAAAGACUCCAAACAUAGAAAUUCAUCAAGUAUAAAAGCACAACAGGCAGCCUCUACAUUUUAGCCCUCGGCGAAAUGUGAGCAAGUAGGGGAUUUUUCAUGACAACAGUGAACUCUGCUUUCUCUGAUAGAUCAACAGGAACACCAUCAGGAGCCUUCCAUUCGAAAUGCCAAAUCAGAUUAGCCACAAAGUACUCGAGAUGAAGCAAUGCCAAGUUCAGGCCAGGGCAUAUCCUUCUCCCAGCACCGAAAGGCAUCAUCUUGAUCCCCCUGCUCCCUGUUAUAUCGAAAGCAUCUAAAUCUCCCUUUUUAUUCAAGAACCUCUCCGGUUUGAAUUCCAAAGGAUCAUCCCACACCUUUGGAUCCCUCCCCAUCUCAGCCACCAUAUAAUUAAUCCUCGCAUCUGUAGGCACCACAUAGCCGUCCAGCUUAACUUCCUCCGUCACAGAAUGUGUCAACACGAAAUGUGCAGGCGGAUGAGCUCUCAAACUCUCCAACACAACGGCCUUCAAAUACGGCAUCUGCUGCAAAUCCUCUUCCUCCACCACCACCAUUUUCCCUUCUCCCCCCAACCCCGGACAAUUCCCCUUGACACCCACAAUCUCAUCAUAAACCUUCCCCUGAAUCUCCGGAUACUUGACCAAAUUAGCCAUAAUCCAUUGCAAAGCCGUGGUCGUCGUAUCCGUCCCCGCAUUCAAAAACUCACCACACAAACCUACAAUCUCCCCAAAACUCAACUUCCUAUCCCCUUCCUCCGGAAGCUUCAACUUCAACAACGUAUCCACAUACGACACAACCCCCUCGUCCUGAUCAAAUCCCGACUGGAGCUUCUCCAGUCGGGACUUGAUCAACGGAAUCAACACACCCUCUUGAUUCCGUCUAAGCUGUUUCAAUUCCAACCAUCUCCGAUAAAACAAAACCUUCCCCAACACGGGCCAGAUAUCGAGCACCCUAAACCUCCCUAAACUCAACAAAAGCCCUCUCUGCACCCUCUCAAUCUCCUUAAUCUCCUUCUCCUCCAACUUAUCCCCAAAACACAUCAACACAAGCAACCCGAACAUCGCGAACUGAAACUCACCCACAACCUUAACACCCCCUUUGUCGGAACUUUUAUCAAACCGCCGCACCAGCAAAUUCAACACCCAAUCUCGGGC
This 6021-nucleotide long non-coding RNA is filed under the name Daucus carota (carrot). Its description in RNAcentral is "long non-coding RNA (DCAR_LNC006041)". The record is from RNAcentral. Lineage: Eukaryota; Viridiplantae; Streptophyta; Magnoliopsida; Apiales; Apiaceae.